AGGACGAACGCUGGCGGCGUGCCUAACACAUGCAAGUCGAGCGAGAAAGUUCUUCGGGAGACGAGUACAGCGGCGGACGGGUGAGUAACACGUGAACAACCUACCCUUGAGACAGGGAUAACAGCGGGAAACCGUUGCUAAUACCUGAUAUACUCAUAGAACCGCAUGGUGAUAUGAGGAAAUGAUUAAUCGCUCAAGGAUGGGUUCGCGUCCCAUUAGCUAGUUGGUGGGGUAAAGGCCUACCAAGGCGACGAUGGGUAGCCGGCCUGAGAGGGUGUCCGGCCACACUGGAACUGAGACACGGUCCAGACUCCUACGGGAGGCAGCAGUGGGGAAUUUUGCGCAAUGGGGGAAACCCUGACGCAGCGACGCCGCGUGAGCGAAGAAGGUUUUCGGAUCGUAAAGCUCUGUCACAGGGGAAGAUAAUGACGGUACCCUGGGAGGAAGCCCCGGCUAACUACGUGCCAGCCGCCGC
Molecule: ribosomal RNA, 475 nt
Filed under: uncultured bacterium
Lineage: Bacteria
Description: bacterial SSU rRNA
Rfam family: Bacterial small subunit ribosomal RNA
Source: RNAcentral